AAGUCGUAACAAGGUUUCCGUAGGUGAACCUGCGGAAGGAUCAUUAACACGUAUCCAACGUUAAACCCCCUGUGAACCUUCAUUGUACGAGUUACAUCCACGUCAUAAACCGGCAAUCUCUGGUAAAUCAUCGCCGAACAGUUUUGAUUCAGAGACCUCUGGGAAGGGUGUACGGUAGUGCGACCUCUGCUUGUUAGUGUCUGAAAGUGUCACUAGCUAUGUACGGAUGGCGCAGUAACGAUCGCUGGAGGCCGACACGGCCGGCGACCAGGUCACUGGGCCCUGAUCACAACCUUUGCAUGAAAACGGGCCUGCGCUGAGGUGCGGCCACCCCUAAUGCUUGAACAAUGUUAACAAUGGAUAUCUUGGUUCUC
RNAcentral lists this unclassified non-coding RNA (374 nucleotides) under fungal sp. RNAcentral's name for it is "partial internal transcribed spacer region". The stretch from base 1 to 46 matches the Rfam family "Eukaryotic small subunit ribosomal RNA", at positions 1786 to 1831 of the family's 1831-position model. Lineage: Eukaryota; Fungi. The record is from RNAcentral.